GAUUAAUGCGACGUAAAGCGAGCGCAGUCGGUUCCUCAAGUCUGAUGUGAUAGGCUUUCGCCUCACCGGAAGACGUGCAUCGGAGACUGGGAAACUUGAGAGCAGAAGACGACAGUGGAAGUACCACGUGCAGCGCUGAAAUGCGUUGAUAUAUGGAAGAACACCAGUGGCGAUGUAGUCUGUCUGGUCUGUCACUGACGCUGAGGCUCGAAUGCAUGGGUAGCCAGCAGGAUUAGAUACCCUGGUAGUUUAUGCCGUAAACGAUGAGUGCUAGGCGUUGGAGGGUUUCCGCCAUUCACCUCCGCAGCUAACGCAUUUAGCACUCUGCGUGGGGAGUACGACGGCAAGGCGGAGACUCAAAGGUCUUGACGGAGGCCCGCACAAGCGGUGGAGCAUGUGCUUUAAUUCGAAGCAACGCGAAGAACCUUACCAGGUCUUGACAUCCUGUGACCACUCUAGAGAUAGAGCUUUCCCUUCGGGGACAAAGUGACAGGUGGUGCAUGGUCGUCGUCAGUUCGUGUCGUCAGAUGAUGGGUUAAGUCCCGCAACGAGCGCAACCCUUAUUACUAGUUGCCAGCAUUUAGUUGGGCACUCUAGUGAGACUGCCGGUGACAAACCGGAGGAAGGUGGGGACGACGUCAAAUCAUCAUGCCCCUUAUGACCUGGGCUACACACGUGCUACAAUGGAGGGUACAACGAGUUGCGAGACCGCGAGGUUUAGCUAAUCUCUUAAACCCAUUCUCAGUUAGGAUUGUAGGCUUCAAUUAGCCUACAUGAAGCCGGAAUCGGUAGUAAUCGGGGAUCAGCAUGCCGCGGUGAAUACGUUCCCGGGCCUAGUACACACCGCCCGUCACUCCCUCAGAGUUUGUAACCCCC
This 876-nucleotide ribosomal RNA is filed under the name Latilactobacillus sakei. RNAcentral's name for it is "bacterial SSU rRNA". It matches the Rfam family "Bacterial small subunit ribosomal RNA", at positions 549 to 1422 of the family's 1533-position model. Lineage: Bacteria; Bacillati; Bacillota; Bacilli; Lactobacillales; Lactobacillaceae. The record is from RNAcentral.